This 3962-nucleotide long non-coding RNA is filed under the name Homo sapiens (human). RNAcentral's name for it is "non-protein coding lnc-STYX-5:12". Lineage: Eukaryota; Metazoa; Chordata; Mammalia; Primates; Hominidae. The record is from RNAcentral.
ACACGGGGAGGCGGCUGAGGCCCAGCAAGAAUUCAAGCUCCGCGGGGGCAGGCCAGCAGUGCUGGGGGACCCGGCGCACCCUCCGCAGCUGCUGGCCCGGGUGCUAAACCCCUCACUGCCCGGGCCGGCGGUGCCGGCGGGCUGCUCUCAGUGCGGGACCUCGGAGCCUGCGCCCACCCGGAACUAGCCGCGUUCAGCCCUGGUUCCCGCCCCCGCCUCUCCCGCCACACCUCUCCACAAGCAGAGGGAGCUGGCUUCAGCCUCAGCCAGCACAGAGAGGGGCCCCCAUAGCGCAGUGGCGGGCUGAAGGGCUCCUUGAGCAUGGCCAGAGUGGACGCCAAGGCUGAGGAGGCGCCGAGAGCCAGUGAGGGCUGCUAGCAUGUUGUCACCUCUCAAUACAUAAAACUACUGGAGGGUGGUUCCAAGAUGGCCAAAUAGGAACAGCUCCAGUCUACAGCUCCCAGCAUGAGUGAUGCAGAAGACGAAUGAUUUCUGCAUUUCCAACUCAGUAGAGAGCUGACUUUAGAGGGAUCAAGAAUAGCUUGCUGGAUGGAAGGAGGUAAGAAACCUAGAGCACCUUGUGAAACUGACAUUGAGGAAAUGGCAUGGUAAAACAGUAAAAAAAAAUUUCUUGUUACAUGGAGUGAGCUGCUUCAUCAAGCUUCUGUUGAAGGCAAUCCUACUGGAACUUUUAGUCAAAUGGAAUUUUUUAAAAAUCUCAUUUUAAGGUUUCCUGGCACUUGUAACUGAAAGAUCCUAACUGACACAGCAGGAAAGCGGAAGGGUGGCAACUGUUCAGUUAGGGCAUAGUUCUCAAGAUUGUCCUUUAGGAACAUGUAUCUUUGUGGGAUCUCAUCUAUCUCAUACAAGGAUUGCAUUGAUGCAUGUAGUGUUCAGUAGCAUGACUGACCAGAGUGGAAGUUCCUGGAAAUUGUAGCUAUCAUCAUGAUGAUGAUGGUGAUUAUGAUUGUUAAAGACUGGGUUAGGAAAUGAUUUUGUAAAUACAAUGAGAAGAAGAGCUUUAAAAUUUGCCUAAAUUUCCCCACUUAAUAUUAAAAAGGAGGUGUGCUAUUAAAUUUUAGGUUUUUCUCAAACUCUCACAGCUAUUUUUGUGGGUUUUUAGUGUAUUUCGAGCCCCCUUUUCCUUCAUCUCUAUUACUUUAUGAUAAUGUGAAGGCUCAUUGUUAUGUGAACGCACUGUUAUGAAACAAUACUCUCAGACAUAAGCAGCUUUCCUUAAACCAAAUCAAAAAUACUAUUUCUAUUGCCCAUGAUUUUCAGAGGACUUCAGAGGACCCUGAAGCAUGGGGUGCUGUGAAUGCCACUAACUAACUUCAUUAAUCACACUUAUAAUGUAAAGGGAGAAUUUUCUACUUUCUAUAAAUAAUCUAAAAUUUAAAAGUUUGUCAACUAAAACAUUUGUAAAAUUUGUAUUGAUAAAGUCCUACAAAUAAUAUGACUCCUAUCUUGUUUGAAAUAGUUUUGUCUGAAGUUUUGUCAUAAAAUGGAAACUACCUAUACACAUGAAGUUUGCGGGUCCUUGAAAGAAAGGGUUUUUUACUUCUUUUUUCUUUUUGUCCUAGUCCAUUCAGGCUGCCGUAAAAAAAAAAUACCAUAAACUGGGUGGCUCACAAACAAUAGAAAUUUAUUGUUCAUGGUUCUGGCAGCUGGGAAGUCCAAGAUCAAGGCAUCGACAAAUUUGGUGACAGAUGAGGCCUCGCUCCCUCAAAGACAAUAGUCUUAUCACUCUAACCUCAUGUGGCAGAAGGAGUAAAUGAGCUCCCUGGGGCCUCUUUUACAAGGGCACUAGUACUACUCAUGAGGGUGGAGCCCUUAUGACCUGAUUACUUCCCAAAGGCCACACUUUCUAAUACCGUCAUCUUGGGAGUUAGAAUUUCAAUAUAUAAAUUUUGCGGGGGACACAAACAUUCAGUCCAUUACACUUUUAGUGCCAUAAUGGGAUUUGGUUUUUAUUAUCAAUGACCUACAGGAUGUACAUUUUAAUCUUAAAAUAAUCUAGGGCAGAAUAUGUGUUCAUGUAACUCAGUUUGUCACCAUUCUUUUCACCAUCAUCAUCAGGACUUAAUGCCUAAACAUACCCUGAGUAUGUUUAGCAUACAUACCCUUGUGCAACUCACCUGAGAGUGGAAAUGAAACGAUGAAAGCACCCCUGCACUCUUGGCCUAGGUGCACAUUUACUGAUAUUACACAUUGAGCAGAAGAGACUUAGCAAGAAGCUAAUGAAGCUUAAAGUUCAGGUCCCUGUACUUGCAUGUUCCUUCCAGGGACCUGGGAGGGACUCUGGCAAUUUUUACUUGUAAAUUUCUAAUUUUUUUUCCAAAAUAGGGCUUUCCAGAAUUGUAUCUGCCUCAGGCCUUACAAAAACAGGGAAUAUCUUGGCAUCUAUGUUUCUGUUGAGAGGUAGGAGCAAAAGGAAAGCUUUAACUCCCAAUCCUGGUGUCGUUUCCAGGCACAGAGAGUUUAAAAUAUUCCUCUCUUCCUCACCAUGUGCAGAGAACACUGCAUUCAGAAGCAUUACCUGCAGCUCAUGUUAGUGAGAGACAGAGAGCUGCAGUACUGUGCAGCCAUUCCUGGUUCAUUAGCAAAGCAAUGGGUAUGUAGAUGCAGAGAAUAAGGACUUUUGUAAUUUGUCAUUAAUCCUGGGAUAGGAGGAUAAUAAUACAGGACAAGUGCAGCAUGCAGGCAUGAGAACAUUGAGAAGAGAACCCAUGGGAACAGGAAGAAAAUGAGCAUAACUACACCAAAUACAGAUUUCUGUUUUCAACAGACUAGUUAAGUGUUUGUGUCAGUCUUUUGUGAAAAGAAUUGGGACUUACAAUCAGAAACUGCACAUACUUCGAAAACUGCAGCUUUAUGCUAACUACAUCAUGUCUGUAUAGUAAGCUAACCAUAUAAUACAGUAUUCUACUAUACUAAAUAUGAAGUAGAAUGUAUUUGUCAUUUCAUAGCACAAAUCAUUCAUAUAAGACAUUUCCUUAACAUACGUAACAUAUGAUACAAAUUUAUUUAAAAUACACUCAGACUCUUCCAUAUCCACCAUAUCAGUAACAGUCACCUCCUUAGGAGGGGUAACUCAUGUCCUCCAUUUGUGUCAUAUUCUUCCUCACCUUUUUCUUUCUUUUCUUUUUUUUCUUGAGAAUGAAUCUCACUCUGUCACCCAGGCUAGAGUGCCAUGGUGCAAUCACGACUCACUGCAGCCCUGACCUGGGUGCAAGCAAUCUUUCCACCUCAGCCUCCAAAGUAGCUGGGACUACAGGUGUGUGCCACGACAUCUGGCUAAGUUUUCAAAGUUUUUUUGGAGAUGAGGAUCUCCCUAUGUUGCUCAGGCUGGUCUUGAACCCCUGGCUCAAGCAGUCCUCCCACCUCAACCCCCCAAAGUGUUGAAAUUAUAGGAGGGAGCCACUGUGCCCAGCCUUCCAUACCUUUUUAAACAUAUGUUUACUUUUUCAAUUGCAGUUAAGUGUAGAUAUUAUUUUAUCAACUCUUAGGGCCACAUUUUAAAAAGUAAGUAUCUAGUAUUCUACAAUAUAGAUUCUGCAACUUUUAUUUUAAACUCAAAGAUAUAUGAAAGAUCUUUUCAUAAUGUAUAUGUAGAUGCUUCUUAUUAUUAACUACUGUAUAAUAUCCUAUAGUGUGACCAUACCGACAUUAAUUUAUCCAUUCCCUUAUUGGUGGAACUUUUGCUAUUACAUUCAAUGCUGCAAUGAAUAUUUUUAUGCAUUUUUCUGCGUAUUUGUGUUUCUCUAGGAAAGACCACAAAAACAGUAGAAUUUCUGGGUCACUUUACAUGUGAAUAGAAACUGUCAGAUUGUACUCCAAAACUGUUCUUCUGGUUUACAGUAUUCUUACCACAUAUGUGAGUGCCCAGUUCCCCAUCUGCUUAGUAAUAUACAGUGUUAUCAAUCUUUUCAGUUUUCUUUUUUGCUAAUUUGAUGAGCAUA